UACGGAGGGGACUAGCGUUGUUCGGAAUUACUGGGCGUAAAGCGCACGUAGGCGGAUUUGUAAGUCAGGGGUGAAAUCCCGGGGCUCAACCUCGGAACUGCCUUCGAUACUGCGAAUCUCGAGUCCGGAAGAGGUGAGUGGAAUUCCUAGUGUAGAGGUGAAAUUCGUAGAUAUUAGGAAGAACACCAGUGGCGAAGGCGGCUCACUGGUCCGGUACUGACGCUGAGGUGCGAAAGCGUGGGGAGCAAACAGG
RNAcentral lists this ribosomal RNA (253 nucleotides) under uncultured bacterium. Its description in RNAcentral is "partial 16S ribosomal RNA". It matches the Rfam family "Bacterial small subunit ribosomal RNA", at positions 524 to 776 of the family's 1533-position model. The record is from RNAcentral.